GCGGCCGUAAUUCAGUGGUAGAAUGUCAGCUUCCCAAGCUGAACGUCGUGAGUUCGAAUCUCAUCGGCCGCU
RNAcentral lists this transfer RNA (72 nucleotides) under bacterium. RNAcentral describes it as "tRNA-Gly". It matches the Rfam family "tRNA". From Rfam's summary of the family: Transfer RNA (tRNA) molecules are approximately 80 nucleotides in length. Their secondary structure includes four short double-helical elements and three loops (D, anti-codon, and T loops). RNAcentral also lists the same sequence under 3 other names. The record is from RNAcentral.